GGGUUGUGAGGUUAAGCGACUAAGCGUACACGGUGGAUGCCCUGGCAGUCAGAGGCGAUGAAGGACGUGCUAAUCUGCGAUAAGCGUCGGUAAGGUGAUAUGAACCGUUAUAACCGGCGAUUUCCGAAUGGGGAAACCCAGUGUGUUUCGACACACUAUCAUUAACUGAAUCCAUAGGUUAAUGAGGCGAACCGGGGGAACUGAAACAUCUAAGUACCCCGAGGAAAAGAAAUCAACCGAGAUUCCCCAGUAGCGGCGAGCGAACGGGGAGCAGCCCAGAGCCUGAAUCAGUAUGUGUGUUAGUGGAAGCGUCUGGAAAGGCGCGCGAUACAGGGUGACAGCCCCGUACACAAAAAUGCACAUGCUGUGAGCUCGAUGAGUAGGGCGGGACACGUGGUAUCCUGUCUGAAUAUGGGGGGACCAUCCUCCAAGGCUAAAUACUCCUGACUGACCGAUAGUGAACCAGUACCGUGAGGGAAAGGCGAAAAGAACCCCGGCGAGGGGAGUGAAAAAGAACCUGAAACCGUGUACGUACAAGCAGUGGGAGCACGCUUAGGCGUGUGACUGCGUACCUUUUGUAUAAUGGGUCAGCGACUUAUAUUCUGUAGCAAGGUUAACCGAAUAGGGGAGCCGAAGGGAAACCGAGUCUUAACUGGGCGUUAAGUUGCAGGGUAUAGACCCGAAACCCGGUGAUCUAGCCAUGGGCAGGUUGAAGGUUGGGUAACACUAACUGGAGGACCGAACCGACUAAUGUUGAAAAAUUAGCGGAUGACUUGUGGCUGGGGGUGAAAGGCCAAUCAAACCGGGAGAUAGCUGGUUCUCCCCGAAAGCUAUUUAGGUAGCGCCUCGUGAAUUCAUCUCCGGGGGUAGAGCACUGUUUCGGCAAGGGGGUCAUCCCGACUUACCAACCCGAUGCAAACUGCGAAUACCGGAGAAUGUUAUCACGGGAGACACACGGCGGGUGCUAACGUCCGUCGUGAAGAGGGAAACAACCCAGACCGCCAGCUAAGGUCCCAAAGUCAUGGUUAAGUGGGAAACGAUGUGGGAAGGCCCAGACAGCCAGGAUGUUGGCUUAGAAGCAGCCAUCAUUUAAAGAAAGCGUAAUAGCUCACUGGUCGAGUCGGCCUGCGCGGAAGAUGUAACGGGGCUAAACCAUGCACCGAAGCUGCGGCAGCGACGCUUAUGCGUUGUUGGGUAGGGGAGCGUUCUGUAAGCCUGCGAAGGUGUGCUGUGAGGCAUGCUGGAGGUAUCAGAAGUGCGAAUGCUGACAUAAGUAACGAUAAAGCGGGUGAAAAGCCCGCUCGCCGGAAGACCAAGGGUUCCUGUCCAACGUUAAUCGGGGCAGGGUGAGUCGACCCCUAAGGCGAGGCCGAAAGGCGUAGUCGAUGGGAAACAGGUUAAUAUUCCUGUACUUGGUGUUACUGCGAAGGGGGACGGAGAAGGCUAUGUUGGCCGGGCGACGGUUGUCCCGGUUUAAGCGUGUAGGCUGGUUUUCCAGGCAAAUCCGGAAAAUCAAGGCUGAGGCGUGAUGACGAGGCACUACGGUGCUGAAGCAACAAAUGCCCUGCUUCCAGGAAAAGCCUCUAAGCAUCAGGUAACAUCAAAUCGUACCCCAAACCGACACAGGUGGUCAGGUAGAGAAUACCAAGGCGCUUGAGAGAACUCGGGUGAAGGAACUAGGCAAAAUGGUGCCGUAACUUCGGGAGAAGGCACGCUGAUAUGUAGGUGAAGCGACUUGCUCGUGGAGCUGAAAUCAGUCGAAGAUACCAGCUGGCUGCAACUGUUUAUUAAAAACACAGCACUGUGCAAACACGAAAGUGGACGUAUACGGUGUGACGCCUGCCCGGUGCCGGAAGGUUAAUUGAUGGGGUUAGCGCAAGCGAAGCUCUUGAUCGAAGCCCCGGUAAACGGCGGCCGUAACUAUAACGGUCCUAAGGUAGCGAAAUUCCUUGUCGGGUAAGUUCCGACCUGCACGAAUGGCGUAAUGAUGGCCAGGCUGUCUCCACCCGAGACUCAGUGAAAUUGAACUCGCUGUGAAGAUGCAGUGUACCCGCGGCAAGACGGAAAGACCCCGUGAACCUUUACUAUAGCUUGACACUGAACAUUGAGCCUUGAUGUGUAGGAUAGGUGGGAGGCUUUGAAGUGUGGACGCCAGUCUGCAUGGAGCCGACCUUGAAAUACCACCCUUUAAUGUUUGAUGUUCUAACGUUGACCCGUGAUCCGGGUUGCGGACAGUGUCUGGUGGGUAGUUUGACUGGGGCGGUCUCCUCCUAAAGAGUAACGGAGGAGCACGAAGGUUGGCUAAUCCUGGUCGGACAUCAGGAGGUUAGUGCAAUGGCAUAAGCCAGCUUGACUGCGAGCGUGACGGCGCGAGCAGGUGCGAAAGCAGGUCAUAGUGAUCCGGUGGUUCUGAAUGGAAGGGCCAUCGCUCAACGGAUAAAAGGUACUCCGGGGAUAACAGGCUGAUACCGCCCAAGAGUUCAUAUCGACGGCGGUGUUUGGCACCUCGAUGUCGGCUCAUCACAUCCUGGGGCUGAAGUAGGUCCCAAGGGUAUGGCUGUUCGCCAUUUAAAGUGGUACGCGAGCUGGGUUUAGAACGUCGUGAGACAGUUCGGUCCCUAUCUGCCGUGGGCGCUGGAGAACUGAGGGGGGCUGCUCCUAGUACGAGAGGACCGGAGUGGACGCAUCACUGGUGUUCGGGUUGUCAUGCCAAUGGCACUGCCCGGUAGCUAAAUGCGGAAGAGAUAAGUGCUGAAAGCAUCUAAGCACGAAACUUGCCCCGAGAUGAGUUCUCCCUGACUCCUUGAGAGUCCUGAAGGAACGUUGAAGACGACGACGUUGAUAGGCCGGGUGUGUAAGCGCAGCGAUGCGUUGAGCUAACCGGUACUAAUGAACCGUGAGGCUUAACCUUACAACGCCGAAG
RNAcentral lists this ribosomal RNA (2923 nucleotides) under Escherichia coli. Its description in RNAcentral is "23S ribosomal RNA". It matches the Rfam family "Bacterial large subunit ribosomal RNA". Lineage: Bacteria; Pseudomonadati; Pseudomonadota; Gammaproteobacteria; Enterobacterales; Enterobacteriaceae. The record is from RNAcentral.